GACGAACGCUGGCGGCGUGCCUAAUACAUGCAAGUAGAACGCACAGUUUAUACCGUAGCUUGCUACACCAUAGACUGUGAGUUGCGAAUGGGUGAGUAACGCGUAGGUAACCUGCCUGGUAGCGGGUGAUAACUAUUGGAAACGAUAGCUAAUAACGCAUAAUAUUAAUUAUUGCAUGAUAAUUAAUUGAAAGGUGCAAUUGCACCACUACCAGAUGGACCUGCGUUGUAUUAGCUAGUAGGUGAGGUAACGGCUCACCUAGGCGACGAUACAUAGCCGACCUGAGAGGGUGAUCGGCCACACUGGGACUGAGACACGGCCCAGACUCCUACGGGAGGCAGCAGUAGGGAAUCUUCGGCAAUGGACGAAAGUCUGACCGAGCAACGCCGCGUGAGUGAAGAAGGUUUUCGGAUCGUAAAGCUCUGUUGUAAGAGAAGAACGGGUGUGAGAGUGGAAAGUUCACACUGUGACGGUAUCUUACCAGAAAGGGACGGCUAACUACGUG
This 505-nucleotide ribosomal RNA is filed under the name uncultured bacterium. Its description in RNAcentral is "partial 16S ribosomal RNA". It matches the Rfam family "Bacterial small subunit ribosomal RNA", at positions 28 to 507 of the family's 1533-position model. The record is from RNAcentral.